AUACGGAGGGUGAGAGCGUUAAUCGGAAUUACUGGGCGUAAAGCGCGCGUAGGCGGCUUGGUAAGUCGGAUGUGAAAUCCCCGGGCUCAACCUGGGAAUUGCAUUCGAUACUGCCUGGCUAGAGUAUGAUAGAGGGUAGUGGAAUUCCUGGUGUAGCGGUGAAAUGCGUAGAUAUCAGGAGGAACAUCAGUGGCGAAGGCGGCUACCUGGACUAAAACUGACACUGAGGUGCGAAAGCGUGGGGAGCAAACAGGAUUAGAUACCCCGGUAGUCC
RNAcentral lists this ribosomal RNA (274 nucleotides) under uncultured bacterium. RNAcentral describes it as "partial 16S ribosomal RNA". It matches the Rfam family "Bacterial small subunit ribosomal RNA", at positions 523 to 796 of the family's 1533-position model. The record is from RNAcentral.